This 468-nucleotide ribosomal RNA is filed under the name uncultured bacterium. Its description in RNAcentral is "partial 16S ribosomal RNA". It matches the Rfam family "Bacterial small subunit ribosomal RNA", at positions 28 to 507 of the family's 1533-position model. The record is from RNAcentral.
GACGAACGCUGGCGGCGUGCUUAACACAUGCAAGUCGAACGGAAAGGCCCUGCUUUUGUGGGGUGCUCGAGUGGCGAACGGGUGAGUAACCCGUGAGUAACCUGCCCUUGACUUUGGGAUAACUUCAGGAAACUGGGGCUAAUACCGGAUAGGAGCUCCUGCUGCAUGGUGGGGGUUGGAAAGUUUCGGCGGUUGGGGAUGGACUCGCGGCUUAUCAGCUUGUUGGUGGGGUAGUGGCUUACCAAGGCUUUGACGGGUAGCCGGCCUGGGAGGGUGACCGGCCACAUUGGGACUGAGAUACGGCCCAGACUCCUACGGGAGGCAGCGGUGGGGAAUAUUGCACAAUGGGCGGAAGCCUGAUGCAGCAACGCCGCGUGCGGGAUGACGGCCUUCGGGUUGGAAACCGCUUUCGCCUGUGACGAAGCGUGAGUGACGGUAAUGGGUAAAGAAGCACCGGCUAACUACGUG